GGAAUGAACCCGGGCCUAUAGUAACGCCUCUGGCACUGCGAUGCGUAAGUAGCCUAGACAGCGGCGACACUCAGGAUGCAGUGCUUUAGCCUUUUAACUGCACUAUUUUCACGCAUGGCUUUGUUUGGCGGCACCUCUACUGGACUUUUAAAGGUUGUAAGACAGGUCCUGCACGUAAACCGAAGAAUCUGUGACAACGGGAUGGAAUGUGUAGGAUAACGAGCAGCAGUAGUUCCAGUGUUUGGCUGAGACUUCGCAAACUGGAGCUCCCAAUUUCUGACCAAAUUACAUGCGAUUUUAGUUCUGGUUUAACCGAGAUUAGAAUUCUCUAAGGAGUGACUGAAAUCCACACUUUGGUUUUGGUAGAAAAGUCACGGCCAAGAAACGCUUAUGUUAGCAUUUAAGGACUAAACACAUAAUUGUACUCUGAAGUUCCACAUCACACUAUUACAAAAGUGUGACUGUUCUGGAAUAACAUGUCCAAUAUAUUUUCUUAAACAUC
Long non-coding RNA from Oncorhynchus gorbuscha (pink salmon), 502 nucleotides. RefSeq lists it as uncharacterized. The transcript is spliced from 2 exons. The record is from RefSeq and is a predicted model, not a curated record. NCBI's taxonomy places the organism in Eukaryota, Metazoa, Chordata, Actinopteri, Salmoniformes, Salmonidae.